Molecule: transfer RNA, 75 nt
Filed under: Picrophilus oshimae DSM 9789
Lineage: Archaea; Methanobacteriati; Thermoplasmatota; Thermoplasmata; Thermoplasmatales; Picrophilaceae
Description: tRNA_Tyr_GTA
Rfam family: tRNA
About the family: Transfer RNA (tRNA) molecules are approximately 80 nucleotides in length. Their secondary structure includes four short double-helical elements and three loops (D, anti-codon, and T loops).
Source: RNAcentral
CCCGGCUUAGCUCAGUUGGUAGAGCGACGGACUGUAGAUAUCCGUAGGUCUCUGGUUCGAAUCCGGAAGCCGGGA